AGAGAGAGACAUGCGCGCAUAUCAAUAAGCGGAGGAAAAGAAACUAACAAGGAUUCCCUUAGUAACGGCGAGUGAAGCGGGAAGAGCUCAAAUUUGAAAUCCUCAAGGCUUUACCUUGACGAAUUGUAGUUUAAAGAAGUGUUUUCUGCUGAAGUUUUGGUAAAAGUUCUUUGGAAUAGGACAUCAUAGAGGGUGAGAAUCCCGUAUUUGACCAUUAUUUUCAGCUUUGUGAUACACUUUCAAAGAGUCGGAUUGUUUGGGAAUGCAGUCCAAAAUGGGUGGUAAAUUUCAUCUAAAGCUAAAUAUUGGCGAGAGACCGAUAGCGAACAAGUACCGUGAGGGAAAGAUGAAAAGAACUUUGAAAGGAGAGUUAAACAGUACGUGAAAUUGUCAAAAGGGAAGCGUUUGACACCAGUGCUUGUUUUCUCGAAAAUCAAUUAAAAAUGGCUCGAUUUUGUAUUGCUUGAGACCUUAAAAGCUCACUGUACAUUUUUCGUGUCUUUUUUAAUGCACUUUUCGUUUAACAAGUCAACAUCAGUUUCUUUUGUUGUAAAAGGGUCAUUGGAAGGUGGCUUUCUUUUCGGAGAAAGUGUUUAUAGCCUUUGGCCUCUGCAAUCGGAAGAGACUGAGGUCUGCAGCGUAGACUCUUCGGGGUUAGAUACAUUUGUGCUAAGUUAUAGCUUUUUAUAGACAACUUGUUGACUAUAAUUAGUUUUGUAGCUUACUCGCUUAUGCUAUUUUACCUACGCUUAGGAUGUUGAAGUCAUCGUAUCGCGC
RNAcentral lists this ribosomal RNA (777 nucleotides) under uncultured Neocallimastigales. Its description in RNAcentral is "partial large subunit ribosomal RNA". It matches the Rfam family "Eukaryotic large subunit ribosomal RNA", at positions 23 to 645 of the family's 3401-position model. Lineage: Eukaryota; Fungi; Neocallimastigomycota; Neocallimastigomycetes; Neocallimastigales. The record is from RNAcentral.